This 472-nucleotide ribosomal RNA is filed under the name uncultured bacterium. Its description in RNAcentral is "partial 16S ribosomal RNA". It matches the Rfam family "Bacterial small subunit ribosomal RNA", at positions 28 to 507 of the family's 1533-position model. The record is from RNAcentral.
GACGAACGCUGGCGGCGUGCUUAACACAUGCAAGUCGAACGCUGAAGCUUGGUGCUUGCACUGGGUGGAUGAGUGGCGCACGGGUGAGUAAUACGUGAGUAACCUGCCCUUGACUCUGGGAUAAGCCUGGGAAACUGGGUCUAAUACUGGAUACGACAUGCCACUGCAUGGUGGUGUGUGGAGAGGGUUUUACUGGUUUUGGAUGGGCUCACGGCCUAUCAGCUUGUUGGUGGGGUAAUGGCCUACCAAGGCGACGACGGGUAGCCGGCCUGAGAGGGUGACCGGCCACACUGGGACUGAGACACGGCCCAGACUCCUACGGGAGGCAGCAGUGGGGAAUAUUGCACAAUGGGCGGAAGCCUGAUGCAGCGACGCCGCGUGAGGGAUGACGGCCUUCGGGUUGUAUACCUCUUUCAGCACGGAAGAAGCGAGAGUGACGGUACGUGCAGAAGAAGCGCCGGCUAACUACGUG